CAGAUGUUUAACACGGACAAGUGCCUCCGACAAGCGGGAGCGGGCCCGCGGCCCGGCCAGGCCGCAGGGGGCGGUCCGGCCCCGGCGCCCUCGCCCGGGCGCAGGCGCCGCCGUGGGCCCGCGGCGGAGGGCGGCUCGCCCCGGGACGGCAGCUCCAUGCGCUGCCAGGUGUCGGUGCUGUACUUCGCCAGGAGCGCGGAGCUGGCGGGGCUGCGCUGCGAGACCCUCUCGGUGCCUCGGGAGAUCACCUCUCUGCAGCUCUGGGAGGAGAUCGUCAAGGUCCACCCCAGGCUUGCUGCCAUCCGGGAUCAAGUGAUAUUUGCGGUUCGGCAGGAGUACGUGCUUCUUGGAGAUCAGCUUCUGGUCCUGCAGCCUGGAGACGAGGUUGCCAUCAUCCCACCAAUUAGUGGAGGCUGAACCUGCCCAGAUUCUCUUAGGUACUACAAGAAAUAAUUUUGAAGGAAAAAAAGUGAUUCACUUAGAAUAUGAAGCAUAUACUUCAAUGGCAGAGACUGAAAUAAAGAAAAUCUGCAGAAACGUUAGACAGAAAUGGCCUUCAGUCAAACAUAUUGCAGUGCACCAUAGACUUGGGCUUAAUUUUAAAAGAAGAAAGAAUGGAAGAAAAAAGCCUAUGUCUGUGUGGUUCCAAUAACUGAAGCAAGUGUAAUUAUUGCGGUCUCCUCUCCACAUAGAGCAGAAUCCCUUGAAGCUGUAACGUACUGCAUCAAUACCUUAAAAGCAUCUGUCCCAAUAUGGAAAAAGAACUUGGCACGUGGUUAAACAGUGAUAUUCUCUGCAUUACUCCACUUCUCAGAUACCUCCUUGAGGAGAUGGAAGUUCUCUCAGAAUGAAUAAUUAGGGACUUUGAAGAAUUUGCUGCAUAGGACUGGACUGCAGCUGUGUAAUCCAGUCUGUCUUUAAGAUACAUUAGUAGUGUAUUUAGUGUAUUAAUGUAAGUUUUAUUUUAAUAUUGACAUUUUGUUAUGUGUAAAUUCUCAUCUCACAAUGAUGCUACAGUAGGUUAAUGUAGCAGCAUGAGUACUGUGUACUCUACAGCUAUUACAUAAUUUCUUCCAGAUCUGUUUGCUGAAUUGACUUCAGCUUAGAUGGGCCCUUUUAAAUUCAGUGGGGAUCAGCCUGAGGUUCAGCCAAGUCUCUAUGUUCUAAGGUGCUGCCCUCUCUUCUGCUUGCCAGCCAAGUGCUGUGCAGUCCAGUUGUGAUCAGUAAAUAGUAAUGGGAUGGCUAUUGAGCUACCUGGCCUGAUUUGUAGCUGUAUGUAGCAGACUCACAACAUUUCCCAUUCUUUUUUUGUA
Molecule: RNA transcript, 1313 nt
Organism: Prinia subflava (tawny-flanked prinia)
Lineage: Eukaryota; Metazoa; Chordata; Aves; Passeriformes; Cisticolidae
Gene: MOCS2
Gene name: molybdenum cofactor synthesis 2
Exons: 7
Source: RefSeq, a predicted model, not a curated record